GAUGAAGAACGUAGCGAAAUGCGAUAAGUAAUGUGAAUUGCAGAAUUCAGUGAAUCAUCGAAUCUUUGAACGCACAUUGCGCCCGCCAGCAUUCUGGCGGGCAUGCCUGUUCGAGCGUCAUUUCAACCCUCGAGCCCCCCCGGGGGCCUCGGUGUUGGGGGACGGCACACCAGCCGCCCCCGAAAUGCAGUGGCGACCUCGCCGCAGCCUCCCCUGCGUAGUAGCACACACCUCGCACCGGAGCGCGGAGACGGUCACGCCGUAAAACGCCCAACUUCUUAGAGUUGACCUCAGAUCAGGUAGGAAUACCCGCUGAACUUAAGCAUAUCAAUAAGCGGAGGA
Molecule: unclassified non-coding RNA, 342 nt
Filed under: soil metagenome
Description: partial contains 5.8S ribosomal RNA, internal transcribed spacer 2, and large subunit ribosomal RNA
Rfam family: 5.8S ribosomal RNA (bases 1-120)
Source: RNAcentral